CCUACGGGCGGCAGCAGUGGGGAAUAUUGCGCAAUGGGCGAAAGCCUGACGCAGCGACGCCGCGUGAGGGAUGACGGUCUUCGGAUCGUAAACCUCUGUCAGCAGGGAAGAACGGUCCCUGUUCUAAUCAGCAGUGAAUUGACGGUACCUGCAAAGGAAGCACCGGCUAACUCCGUGCCAUCAGCCGCGGUAAUACGGAGGGGGCGAGCGUUAAUCGGAAUUACUGGGCGUAAAGCGCUCGUAGGCGGUAUGUCAAGUCAAGGGUGAAAUCCCCGCGCUCAACGUGGGAACUGCCUUUGAAACUGGUAAACUGGAGUGUGUGAGAGGAGAGUGGAAUUCCAGGUGUAGGAGUGAAAUGCGUAGAGAUCUGGAGGAACACCAGUGGCGAAGGCGACUAUCUGGCACAUAACUGACGCUGAGGAGCGAAAGCGUGGGUAGCAAACAGGAUUAGAUACCCGUGUAGUC
Molecule: ribosomal RNA, 465 nt
Filed under: uncultured bacterium
Lineage: Bacteria
Description: partial 16S ribosomal RNA
Rfam family: Bacterial small subunit ribosomal RNA
Source: RNAcentral